ACGGAGGAUGCAAGCGUUAUCCGGAUUUAUUGGGUUUAAAGGGUGCGCAGGUGGUUUUAUAAGUCAGUGGUGAAAGUCUGUCGCUUAACGUCAGGAUUGCCAUUGAUACUGUAGGACUUGAGUAUGGAUGAGGUAGGCGGAAUGUGUAGUGUAGCGGUGAAAUGCAUAGAUAUUACACAGAACUCCGAUUGCGAAGGCAGCUUACUAAUCCAUUACUGACGCUGAGGCACGAAAGCGUGGGGAUCAAACAGGAUUAGAUACCCUGGUAGUCCACGCCGUAAACGAUGAUCACUCGCUGUUUGCGAUAUACAGUAAGCGGCUUAGCGAAAGCAAUAAGUGAUCCACCUGGGGAGUACGAUCGCAAGGUUG
RNAcentral lists this ribosomal RNA (369 nucleotides) under uncultured bacterium. RNAcentral describes it as "bacterial SSU rRNA". It matches the Rfam family "Bacterial small subunit ribosomal RNA", at positions 525 to 896 of the family's 1533-position model. The record is from RNAcentral.